UCCUCAGUAGCUCAAUGGCAGAGCACUCGGCUGUUAACCGAGUUGUUGUAGGUUCGAGCCCUACCUGUGGAG
Molecule: transfer RNA, 72 nt
Filed under: Faecalibacterium sp. CAG:74
Lineage: Bacteria; Bacillati; Bacillota; Clostridia; Eubacteriales; Oscillospiraceae
Rfam family: tRNA
About the family: Transfer RNA (tRNA) molecules are approximately 80 nucleotides in length. Their secondary structure includes four short double-helical elements and three loops (D, anti-codon, and T loops).
Source: Rfam by way of RNAcentral